UUCUUUAAAAUUAAAGAUUUUGGCGGUAUUUUAGUCUUUUCAGAGGAACCUGUUUUUUAAUCGAUAGUCCACGAUGAAUUUUACUUUAGCUUUAAAUUUGCAUAUCGUCGUUUAUAAAUAUUUUAUUAUUAAAUUUUUUCAGAUCAAGGUGUAGUUUAUGCUUAAGUAAAAAUGGGUUACAAUAAAAAUUUUAAAUAAAUUGGAUUUGAAAGUAAGCUCUAAAAUAUGUACAUAUCGCCCGUCGCUUUCGUUAUAAAAUGAAAUAAGUCGUAACAAAGUAGGCUUAUUGGAAAAUGAGCCUAGAAUGCAAAUUAGAGCUUGAUAAGCAUUUUAUUUACAUUAAAAAGUUAGUUGUUGGAUUCAACUUAGUUUGAACUUGUUAUAUUAUUGAUUUUAUUAUUUAAUGUUUUUGAUAGAAAAAUUUAAUUUUUUAUUAUUUUUUAGAAUAAAUAUAAUUAUAGUUUAUUGUACAGUGAUGGAUUUAUUUAAAGUGUUUUAAAGAAAAUUUUAUUUAUUGUACCUUGUGUCUCAGGGUUAAUUAAUUUAUUUUUCUCGAAUUUAAAAGAGCUAAUUUUAUUGUAAAAUAAAUAUUUAUAAUAAUUAAUUAGAAAUGAAACGUUAUUCGUUUUUAAAUAUAUCUAGUUUCUUAAGAAAAAAAUUUAAUUUUAUUGUUAUUAGUAAUUUAUAUAAGGGAUAAGCUUUUAUUUAGAUCUUUAAAAAUUUAUAUAAUUUUAAAAAAUAUAGGAUUAGAAUUUUCUAUUAUUAAAAUAAUGUUAUAAUUGAAUUUUUUAACUUUUUUAUUAAGAUUUAUUUACUAAUAUUUUUUAUUUAGUAAUAAUGAUUGAAUUAGUAAGUUUAUAAUAAGGAAUUCGGCAAAUUUAUUUUCACCUGUUUAAUAAAAACAUGUCUUUUUGAUUAUAAUUUAAAGUCUUGCCUGCCCAAUGAUUUAAUGGCCGCAGUAUUUUGACUGUGCAAAGGUAGCAUAAUCAUUAGUUUUUUAAUUGAAAGCUGGAAUGAAUGGUUUGAUGAGAAAUAGACUGUCUCUAUAACUUUAAUUUUAAGUGAAAAAGCUUAAAUUUUAUAGAAAGACGAGAAGACCCUAUAGAGUUUUUUUGUUGGGGUGAUGUAAAAAUUUAAUUAACUUUUUAUUUUUAUGAUUUUUUGAUCCUGGAUUAUAAGAAUAAAUUACUUUAGGGAUAACAGCGUAAUUUUUUUGGAAAGUUCUUAUU
RNAcentral lists this ribosomal RNA (1229 nucleotides) under Adelium sp. NLG-2012. Its description in RNAcentral is "partial 16S ribosomal RNA". The record is from RNAcentral. Lineage: Eukaryota; Metazoa; Arthropoda; Insecta; Coleoptera; Tenebrionidae.